Molecule: ribosomal RNA, 301 nt
Filed under: uncultured bacterium
Lineage: Bacteria
Description: partial 16S ribosomal RNA
Rfam family: Bacterial small subunit ribosomal RNA
Source: RNAcentral
CAGUAGCCGCGGGAAUACGGAGGGUGCAAGCGUUAUCCGGAUUCACUGGGUUUAAAGGGUGCGUAGGCGGAUCUGUAAGUCAGUGGUGAAAUCUCCAGGCUUAACCUGGAAACUGCCGUUGAUACUAUAGGUCUUGAAUUUUGUGGAGGUUAGCGGAAUAUGUCAUGUAGCGGUGAAAUGCAUAGAUAUGACAUAGAACACCAAUUGCGAAGGCAGCUGGCUACGCAACCAUUGACGCUGAGGCACGAAAGCGUGGGGAUCAAACAGGAUUAGAUACCCGCGUAGUCCCUGUCUCUUAUAC